GUGUCAGCAGCCGCGGUAAUACGGAGGAUCCAAGCGUUAUCCGGAUUUAUUGGGUUUAAAGGGUGCGUAGGCGGCGUUGUAAGUCAGUGGUGAAAGUUUGCAGCUUAACUGUAAAAUUGCCAUUGAUACUGCAGUGCUUGAGUACAGAUGAGGUGGGCGGAAUGUGUCAUGUAGCGGUGAAAUGCAUAGAUAUGACACAGAACACCGAUUGCGAAGGCAGCUCACUAAACUGUAACUGACGCUGAGGCACGAAAGCGUGGGGAUCAAACAGGAUUAGAUACCCGAGUAGUCC
Molecule: ribosomal RNA, 292 nt
Filed under: uncultured bacterium
Lineage: Bacteria
Description: partial 16S ribosomal RNA
Rfam family: Bacterial small subunit ribosomal RNA
Source: RNAcentral